This 437-nucleotide ribosomal RNA is filed under the name uncultured bacterium. RNAcentral's name for it is "bacterial SSU rRNA". It matches the Rfam family "Bacterial small subunit ribosomal RNA", at positions 29 to 507 of the family's 1533-position model. The record is from RNAcentral.
AGCGAACGCUGGCGGCAUACUUAACACAUGCAAGUCGCACGGAGGGGGCAACCCCUCAGUGGCGGACGGGUGAGUAACGCGUAGGUAUCUAUCCAUGGGUGGGGGAUAACAGUGGGAAACUGCUGCUAAUACCGCAUGACACCUGAGGGUCAAAGGCGCAAGUCGCCUGUGGAGGAGCCUUCGCCCGAUUAGCUAGUUGGUGGGGUAAAGGCCUACCAAGGCGACGAUCGGUAGCUGGUCUGAGAGGAUGAUCAGCCACACUGGGACUGAGACACGGCCCAGACUCCUACGGGAGGCAGCAGUGGGGAAUAUUGGACAAUGGGCGCAAGCCUGAUCCAGCAAUGCCGCGUGGAUGAAGAAGGUCUUCGGAUUGUAAAGUCCUUUCGACGGGGACGAUGAUGACGGUACCCGUAGAAGAAGCCCCGGCUAACUUCGUG